GACGAACGCUGGCGGCGUGCCUAAUACAUGCAAGUCGAACGAACUCUGGUAUUGAUUGGUGCUUGCAUCAUGAUUUACAUUUGAGUGAGUGGCGAACUGGUGAGUAACACGUGGGAAACCUGCCCAGAAGCGGGGGAUAACACCUGGAAACAGAUGCUAAUACCGCAUAACAACUUGGACCGCAUGGUCCGAGCUUGAAAGAUGGCUUCGGCUAUCACUUUUGGAUGGUCCCGCGGCGUAUUAGCUAGAUGGUGGGGUAACGGCUCACCAUGGCAAUGAUACGUAGCCGACCUGAGAGGGUAAUCGGCCACAUUGGGACUGAGACACGGCCCAAACUCCUACGGGAGGCAGCAGUAGGGAAUCUUCCACAAUGGACGAAAGUCUGAUGGAGCAACGCCGCGUGAGUGAAGAAGGGUUUCGGCUCGUAAAACUCUGUUGUUAAAGAAGAACAUAUCUGAGAGUAACUGUUCAGGUAUUGACGGUAUUUAACCAGAAAGCCACGGCUAACUACGUGCCAGCAGCCGCGGUAAUACGUAGGUGGCAAGCGUUGUCCGGAUUUAUUGGGCGUAAAGCGAGCGCAGGCGGUUUUUUAAGUCUGAUGUGAAAGCCUUCGGCUCAACCGAAGAAGUGCAUCGGAAACUGGGAAACUUGAGUGCAGAAGAGGACAGUGGAACUCCAUGUGUAGCGGUGAAAUGCGUAGAUAUAUGGAAGAACACCAGUGGCGAAGGCGGCUGUCUGGUCUGUAACUGACGCUGAGGCUCGAAAGUAUGGGUAGCAAACAGGAUUAGAUACCCUGGUAGUCCAUACCGUAAACGAUGAAUGCUAAGUGUUGGAGGGUUCCCGCCCUUCAGUGCUGCAGCUAACGCAUUAAGCAUUCCGCCUGGGGAGUACGGCCGCAAGGCUGAAACUCAAAGGAAUUGACGGGGGCCCGCACAAGCGGUGGAGCAUGUGGUUUAAUUCGAAGCUACGCGAAGAACCUUACCAGGUCUUGACAUACUAUGCAAAUCUAAGAGAUUAGACGUUCCCUUCGGGGACAUGGAUACAGGUGGUGCAUGGUUGUCGUCAGCUCGUGUCGUGAGAUGUUGGGUUAAGUCCCGCAACGAGCGCAACCCUUAUUAUCAGUUGCCAGCAUUAAGUUGGGCACUCUGGUGAGACUGCCGGUGACAAACCGGAGGAAGGUGGGGAUGACGUCAAAUCAUCAUGCCCCUUAUGACCUGGGCUACACACGUGCUACAAUGGAUGGUACAACGAGUUGCGAACUCGCGAGAGUAAGCUAAUCUCUUAAAGCCAUUCUCAGUUCGGAUUGUAGGCUGCAACUCGCCUACAUGAAGUCGGAAUCGCUAGUAAUCGCGGAUCAGCAUGCCGCGGUGAAUACGUUCCCGGGCCUUGUACACACCGCCCGUCACACCAUGAGAGUUUGUAACACCCAAAGUCGGUGGGGUAACCUUUUAGGAACCAGCCGCCUAAGGCGGGACAGAUGAUUAGGGUG
This 1489-nucleotide ribosomal RNA is filed under the name Lactiplantibacillus plantarum. RNAcentral describes it as "bacterial SSU rRNA". It matches the Rfam family "Bacterial small subunit ribosomal RNA". The record is from RNAcentral. Lineage: Bacteria; Bacillati; Bacillota; Bacilli; Lactobacillales; Lactobacillaceae.